AACUUUUAAUGCAUUAAAUACAAUUAAGAAACUCUUUCUUUUCUUUUUACGACUUAAUUGAUAUAGAUAUAGAUAUGUUUCUUUUUAAGUGAAUACAUGAAUCAUGUCUUAAUGGAUUAAGUGGAUCAAAUGACCCUUUAUGCAUUCACACAUCUAUAGCCUUAAUGACUUAAACUUUUAGAAACUAGUUUUUCAAUUAUUUUUACAAAACAUCAUUUUUUUUUGUACAUGAAUCAUGUCUUAAUGGAUUAAGUGGAUCAAAUGACCCUUUAUGCAUUCACACAUCCAUAGCCUUAAUGAUUUAAACUCUUAGAAGCUUUAAACUCUUAGAAACUAGCUUUUUCAACUACUUUUACAAAAUGUUCUAUUUUUUUAUACAUGAAUCAUGUCUUAAUGGAUUAAGUGGAUCAAAUGACCCUUUUUGCGUUCAUAUAUCCACAGCCUUAAUGACUUAAACUCUUAGAAACUAGCUUUUUCAACUACUUUUACAAAACAUUCUAUUUUUAUACAUGAAUCAUGUCUUAAUGGAUUAAGUGAAUCAAAUGACCCUUUAUGCAUUCACACAUCCAUAGCCUUAAUGACUUAAACUCUUAGAAACUAGUUUUUCAACUACUUUUACAAUUAUCA
This 627-nucleotide long non-coding RNA is filed under the name Lactuca sativa (garden lettuce). Its description in RNAcentral is "long non-coding RNA (LSAT_LNC000299)". The record is from RNAcentral. Lineage: Eukaryota; Viridiplantae; Streptophyta; Magnoliopsida; Asterales; Asteraceae.